UUAAACUUGGUCAACAUUAAGUUGAAAAGUGUAAAAGUUGCAUGGAUAGAUUGAGGCAUGAACAACCUUCUUGUUGUCGACCUAAGAUCCCAAGUCGAAUUAGCUUGAACCCUCUUUCACACGGUCAAAGAAUUUAGUCUAUCAAAGGAUUUAAAAAGGUUAGCUCGACGCUUUAGACAAACACUCAAUCGAUGGAGGUUCGAGUCGAACUAUGAAAGACAUCUUAAGGAAGUAUCAUACUAAUGCAACAGAACAAAUAUCUUCCCUAUACGAUAACGCUACUUAGACCAAUAAAUCAGGAAGGUGAUGAGACGACUU
Molecule: long non-coding RNA, 318 nt
Filed under: Olea europaea (common olive)
Lineage: Eukaryota; Viridiplantae; Streptophyta; Magnoliopsida; Lamiales; Oleaceae
Description: long non-coding RNA (OEUR_LNC014298)
Source: RNAcentral